GGGUCGUUAGCUCAGCGGUAGAGCAGUUGGCUUUUAACCAAUUGGUCGCAGGUUCGAACCCCGCACGACCCACCA
Molecule: transfer RNA, 75 nt
Filed under: Thiopseudomonas denitrificans
Lineage: Bacteria; Pseudomonadati; Pseudomonadota; Gammaproteobacteria; Pseudomonadales; Pseudomonadaceae
Also listed under: 2 other names
Description: tRNA-Lys
Rfam family: tRNA
About the family: Transfer RNA (tRNA) molecules are approximately 80 nucleotides in length.
Source: RNAcentral